This 89-nucleotide transfer RNA is filed under the name Candidatus Daviesbacteria bacterium. Its description in RNAcentral is "tRNA-Ser". It matches the Rfam family "tRNA". From Rfam's summary of the family: Transfer RNA (tRNA) molecules are approximately 80 nucleotides in length. Their secondary structure includes four short double-helical elements and three loops (D, anti-codon, and T loops). Further hydrogen bonds mediate the characteristic L-shaped molecular structure. tRNAs have two regions of fundamental functional importance: the anti-codon, which is responsible for specific mRNA codon recognition, and the 3' end, to which the tRNAs corresponding amino acid is attached (by aminoacyl-tRNA synthetases). tRNAs cope with the degeneracy of the genetic code in two manners: having more than one tRNA (with a specific anti-codon) for a particular amino acid; and 'wobble' base-pairing, i.e. permitting non-standard base-pairing at the 3rd anti-codon position. Lineage: Bacteria; Candidatus Daviesiibacteriota. The record is from RNAcentral.
GGAGGAGUCGCAUAGUCUGGUCGAGUGCCGCUCGGUGCUAACGAGCUAUAUCCGUAAGGAUAUCGUGGGUUCGAAUCCCACCUCCUCCG